RNAcentral lists this long non-coding RNA (538 nucleotides) under Cricetulus griseus (Chinese hamster). RNAcentral describes it as "lncRNA (ENSCGRG00015040827.1)". Lineage: Eukaryota; Metazoa; Chordata; Mammalia; Rodentia; Cricetidae. The record is from RNAcentral.
GUGAGUACAUGACAGGAUGACCUGUCAUCUGCUGGAACUUCAUUUCUCAGAGCCUAGACUCUAGUUAGUUAAGACACCCCACUUGGCAACAGGAUGUCUUCUUGCACAAUCCAUCUUUGGACUCCUGGCCUUCAUUUUUUGCUUUAAUACUGGAUGUUUGGCCUGGAUGGCUGCAUCACACAAACAGACAGGGAAAUGUGGAGAGAAGUUAAUGAAUUUCAGUUUGACCUGGUGUUUCAAGUGCCCAUGGGGCCACAGUUCCUCCAACCAAGGCAUGGGAUUAUUUUGCCAUCAUUUCAGGGAAACCAAGGCAGCAGCUGGGGCAGCUGGUCACGGUGCAUCCUUGGUCAAGAGCGAAGAGAGACAAACGCAGCCUUGCUUGCUUGCUGCAUAGCUAGCUUCCUCCACUCUUCACAGCCUAGCUCGUGACAUGGUGCUGUCCAUGUCCAGGAGAAAGGUCCAGGAACCUGCUACUCCUCUAGCAUCCUACAUGGCAACUGCUCUCUACCUACACAUCAGAAUCCUCCUCAUCUCCGAG